UACGAAGGGGGCUAGCGUUGCUCGGAAUCACUGGGCGUAAAGCGCACGUAGGCGGAUCUUUAAGUCAGUGGUGAAAUCCUGGAGCUCAACUCCAGAACUGCCUUUGAUACUGAGGAUCUCGAGUCCGGGAGAGGUGAGUGGAACUGCGAGUGUAGAGGUGAAAUUCGUAGAUAUUCGCAAGAACACCAGUGGCGAAGGCGGCUCACUGGCCCGGUACUGACGCUGAGGUGCGAAAGCGUGGGGAGCAAACGGG
This 253-nucleotide ribosomal RNA is filed under the name uncultured bacterium. RNAcentral's name for it is "partial 16S ribosomal RNA". It matches the Rfam family "Bacterial small subunit ribosomal RNA", at positions 524 to 776 of the family's 1533-position model. The record is from RNAcentral.